GAUGAAGAACGUAGCGAAAUGCGAUAAGUAAUGCGAAUUGCAGAAUUCCAGUGAGUCAUCGAAUCUUUGAACGCACAUUGCGCCCUUUGGUAUUCCGCAGGGCAUGCCUGUUCGAGCGUCAUUUCAACCCUCAAGCUCUGCUUGGUGUUGGGCCCUGCCCGCUGCGGCCGGCCCUAAAGACAGUGGCGGUGCCGCCUGGCCCUGAGCGUAGUACAUCUCUCGCUCCAGUGCCCGGUGGUAGCCUGCCAGAACCCCAACUCUCGUGGUUGACCUCGGAUCAGGUAGGGAUACCCGCUGAACUUAAGCAUAUCAAUAAGCGGAGGA
This 324-nucleotide unclassified non-coding RNA is filed under the name soil metagenome. Its description in RNAcentral is "partial contains 5.8S ribosomal RNA, internal transcribed spacer 2, and large subunit ribosomal RNA". The stretch from base 1 to 121 matches the Rfam family "5.8S ribosomal RNA", at positions 35 to 154 of the family's 154-position model. The record is from RNAcentral.